GUUACACCAUUCUGUGAGAGAAAUAGGGGCCUGCUAACAACUCAGCACUUCCCAUGAUUCUCUGGGGGGAGCCAUGGCAGUUAAAGUGGUAUGAAACUGUUUUAAAUGUAUGGUGCAGAUAGAACGCUAGAACCUGACAGGCUUUCAAACAGAGGGCUCCUUCAAAUUGAGGAUUUUCUUCUGACAGCCCCCUUGAAGUAGGACAGAUGACCGUUUAUAUCACAGCAAUGGCAAGAAACCUGAACAAGUCUUAAAGAAAGGCUUUAAUCCAGCCUGUUCCCCACUGUACUAGUUUUCAACUUGAUAUGCGUACAUAUACAGUAGUGGAUUUAAAAAUCGAUUCCCUCACCUGAAGUGAUUUCAACCCAUUAUACUGCUUUAUUCAUACGAACAAAGGAAGGGGCCUCUUAUUUGGUGAGAACUGCCUAUCUAGCCCAGUAUUAUCCAUUCUGAGUGCCUGUGUUUUUCAGAGACUCAAGCAGCCCCCUCCCCAUCAUUCAGUCCUUUCAACCAGAGUUGCCAGGGAUCUUUUGCAUUCAAAGCUCUACCACUGAGCAACAGCCCCUGCUACCUCAUGUAUGUGCAUACCAGGGCAUAGUCUUCCUUUGAGGAUGGCACAACUCAGUGUGCAUUAUAAAUAUGACUACAUUGAGCCUGUGAUUAGAAUGCACCUGCUUAAAUCUCUGAAGUUCAUGGAUUAGGAUUAUUCAGAGCUCUGAUUCAUUUUGUCAGUUUUGUGCUAUGUACACAGCAUGUAGAGGAAUUUGGAUCUAAUGUUUGCCUUCAUUAUAAUUAGACACUAUCUUUUAGCAUAUAAUGACGGUGACAGUCUCAGAAACCCCAUCCUUUGAAUCUGCAUGUUUCUCACACACUUGGCUGCCGAGAUCUCCUGGAUAGAUAGUUUCUAAUUAAUUGGUUGGUUUGUUAGGACAAUUUAUUGGAUCAGUUCCAGAACCUGCAAUUAUUCCACAGGCAUUUGCUGAGUUACUCCAAAGGAGGAUUGAAUGAACCUGGAGACUCGCCCCACACCACCCCCAAGCACAUCAUUUCAUUGUAAUAUUCCAAUGAACAUGAAGAUGGGCCCAUCAGACUGGCACAUGCUGAGAACUCAGUAUGUUCUCAUCGGCUGAAAGGAAGAAUGGCAGCAGAAAUAAGAGAAAGGAUCAGAUAAAGGAAAUAAGAAAAGAGAAGGAAGUUGAGCUUCCAGUAUCUAUCUCUAUACCUGUAUAAUAUGGGUGAUUUUUACGCAGGUGAAUCAAAAGCAGUAUAAGUAUGCUAUACAUUAAUUUUGAAUAUGGGUGUGCAUUAGCUCUCUGCAUACCCAAACAACAAGGAUAAAUUAGAAGUGUUUCAGAUCAUGGAUCACACUGUUAGCAAGCAAGGUGCCUCAAGGCAUAUUUGGGUCACUUGGUAGUCAAGGUCUGAGUUUAUUUUUGGACUUGGUUUUUCCAAAAUGUUAGAUACAGAAAUUUCCCUCCUCUUCUUUUCUGAGAAACAAAACCAAGCUGACUGGGGAAAUGCCCAGAGGGCUGGCGAGAAGAGGGGUGUUUUUUUUUAAAAUCAUACAUCUCUAAAAAAUUUUCAUCAUAGAAAACAGAAAAAGUGCACAGAAACCCAUUGAUGAAUCUGCCUGAAAUUUAUGUGAAAAAAAACUUUUAUACUUGUUUAUACUCAAUGGAAGCAAAACAGUUCUUCAGAUUUACCAGGUCAGAUUCAGACACGAAAAAUGAAUUGAAUUGGCACAACACAGAGAAAAUCUGAAACAGAGUGGGUUGUUUUCAAAUGCCACAGAUACAAGAUGAAUCUUGUGUUUGCUGCACACAUUUAAUAUAAAUAAAGACUGGGGAUUUGUUGUUGUCGUUUAGUCGUGUCCGACUCUUCCAUAAACAACCACCCCACCCUCUGAUUACUGAACACACCUUUGUAAAUGAGUGCAGAAUUGUUCAAAUGAGGUGAAGAGGGAACAUGUUACCAUAAUCUCUGAUCCAGAACCAAUCAUGCAUAUCUAGGUAACUGGGACACAAUGUUGAUCCGGUUGUGCUUUGGGGUAUACAAUGCACAAAACCAUCCUGCAACCAGCCCUUUCAGCUUUAGCACUAUUGUUACAGCUACAGCGUUAAUGGUUCAAAAACGGCAGUGGUGGUGAUUUUUAGACAGCGCCCAGAGACUGUAAGGGUUGCAGCUGCAUUUCUGCAGCCCAAUCUCUGAAUGAAGCAGAGAGACGGAACAUUACCCAGCAAUUGUCAAUGUGGAAACCACAUUGGCUGCCAAUUAUCUUCAGAACUAAAUUCAAGCUGCUAGUGUGAAGAGAUCAUUGUAUUUGGUGCUGGUAACUGGCUUAAUAGCUAUUGACACAGACUCUUCAUGCAAUUCCUGAUCUGCCCAUACAACCCAUUCAGUGUAACUAACAAGAAAGCUCUUUCUCAUUGAAAGGGCAAAUGAAAUCACCACUUCUUACUGGUAGAGGAAGAUACCUGCAAGUUACUGCACUUGAAAUAGUUUCUGUGCUUGAAACUAGGGAGAAGUUGGAGAUCUGUUAUUCAAGCUGGAAUGGAAAGUGAUUAAUGUUGUUGUUGAUUUUAUUGCUGUUAACAUUAAUCACCUGCCCUCCACCCUAACAUCCCUGGGAGGGUUCCAACAUUAAAAUACAACACAAAAAUAUAUAUUAAAGCGAUUUAUAUUAUGCAACUGAUUUUGGGGGGUAAGAACCAUGUGCGAACAUAUUGUCAGCAACUCCCUUGCAGACUCCAAUUUCUCUUGUAGCAACUGAAAGCAGUUUGAUGUCUCAUCCCAAACCGUAAUGGAAACCAUCCCUCUUACUGACCACCAGAAUUGUGCAAAGCUCAGUGGUUACAUGUAUAGCCUCUAGAGAGCACCACAUUGGCCAAUGGUUGCCAUGGAAUGCAUUUUUCAGGACCAGGACCUGCCAUGUCCUGAAGGAACCUGCCUCAGGGGGCACCAUGACCAUGAAGAGAGAUUAAAAAAGUUAUGGGUCUGACUCAUCUAGCAAUACUUUAAAAAAAGCAUUGGCUCUGUCUCAGGCAGCAUCUGGAUUCUGCUGUAGGCAGCAAAAUGUCCUGGAGAUGAUUUAUUUAUGUUUUCUGUCCCCACCCCUUCUCUCCAUCUUGCCACCCAUCAUUUCCCCUAGUACCUCUUGUUUCCCUCCAAUUUGCUUUGAAAUGUUUAAGUGUAAGAUCUAUCUAUCUAUCCGCCUGUCUUCACAUGGCAUGGUGAUCUGAGCAUGCUCUGUAACCGGCUGCAUGCGUGUCUAUCGAGGCAGGACAUGCCUAUGUUCAUUUAUGCGCUAUGACAUGGUAAGCCUAACCUUCGCUAAGUACCACUCGGAAAGUGUGCCAGCAUCUUCAUAACAGCUGGCACAGCUGAAAAACUUGCCUGCCUUAUUAACACUCGACUUAUCUGGAAUAUGCUCACAGAGCAGAAACAGCUUCAUAAAUCCUUGUGCAAUUUGCAUUCUUCUUCACAGUUGCUCAUUACGACUGACCUCCCUCCUUCUGCCAGAGCUGAUCAGCCUCCCGCUCCCCUGAAUUUGAAAUGCCUCUCUACUACCAUAGCUUAUUAGUAGUGGUGGUGGUGAUGCUGGUGGAAAUGGCAGCUGCAGCUCCUCUGCUAACUUGCCUGUGCUGAGUUAGGAAAGUUGCACAGCCCCCAGGCCUCUCUUAUCAUAUUUAUAUUUGUCAUUUCACUGGUUGGUUCAAGACUGGCUUACUACAAUGCACACUAUGUGGGGCUUCACUUGACCUGGAAGCUGCACACUGUGCUGUAGGAGUGAGACCCUGUCAGCAAAUAUCACACCACGAUUGAGGGGAGCCUGGGGCCACGUGACAUCAAUGGAACUUUGGGGUGGGGGCAGACAUUUCAUUGGAAAUUUCCAAAGCUUGUUGGUUGGACCUGUAAAUCUUUCCUCAGAAUCCAAUUGAUAGAGUAACUAUCCUCCUCUGAGGAGAUUUUGGGAACUGCAUGUGGCACCUGGUGAGGUAGAAUUACCUUUGGCUAGCCUGGAGUUAAUAAGCAGCUGAGACAAUGCUGAAUAACAUGUCAAAUAAUUUGUGGUGGCUGAGACCCAUAUUCCAUAUGUCACUCAGUUAUAUACUGUAUUUCUCCAUGUAUAAGUCGCCCCCAUGUAUAAGACACCCCCUACUUUUGGGGACGCCAAAUUUAGAAAAUGGGCAUAUGCACGAUCCGUGUAUAAGACGCCCAGAUUUUUAACCUUCUUUUAAAGUAAAAAAAAAUCCAAGUCUUAUACACGGAAAAGUACGGUAUAUAUUUGUACUAUAUUUCGUUGUUAAAAACCUAAAAGAUACACUUGCCAUCUGGAGCAGAAAACAAGCAUAGGGGAGAGGAGCAAAAGGCAGUAUUGGUGGCAGAGUUUGAGAGGCAGAAAACACUAGAUGCCAAAGGGUUAAGAAUCCUCUCCCCUCUCCCCUGGAUACUGCCUCUAUAUUUUAAGUUAGAAGAAAAAGAAUGAAAACGCUGGAGAGACAGAAAAAAUUACACAUAUAGUUUAUGUCUCAUGGAUCUUGGGGAUAUUUUGACAGCUCCUCCUUUCAAAAAAAUCUGUCUUCUGAAAUGCAGUGAGCUCUUUUUAAUUGCAUCUCAUCCAUCUAUCAUUCCAGGUAGAGUCCAGCUGUGAUUUUUCCAUUUCCCCAAUAUCCUUCUUUUAAUAAGGUGACCAGCACGGGGUAAGUAUCAUUUCCUUAUUAUUAAUUAUUACUAUUUCAGCUGUACAGCCAUGUGUUCAAGCUGUCUAACUAUAGUCCCUAAGAACAUGCCCUGAUCAGCAUUUUAUCUUCCCAACAGCACUUCUUGAUUGGGGUUUCACUCAUUCUGCAAUCGGCUGACUGGUGCUUAUCCUUCCGUGAACAUCCUCUCAGCUGCCAAUGUGCACCUUUAUGUUUAUCAAUUACAUUUCAAAUUUUGUGCUUUUUCUUUUCUUUGCUACUCCCAUAGAGCCUCAGACUCUCCCAAAACACACUUAGGACAUGGACUUCUACAUCAUAUUGCAUCAUAUGUCAUAUAUUGGCUAGCCAUGACCAGAAUCUUUCUCUUUGCACAUGACCCUUGCAGUUGUCUGUGACUGCCAUGAUAAUCUAGGUGACAAGGACUUCAACCCUUGAAGAUAGCCUAGUCCAGGCUUCCUCAACCUCAGCCCUCCAGGUGUUUUUGGCCUACAACUCCCAUGAUCCCUAGCUAGCAGGACCAGUGGUCAGGGAUGGUGGGAAUUGUAGUCUCAAAACAUCUGGAAGGCCGAGGUUGAAGAAGACUGGCCUAGUCAAAGAUGCCAUAGGUUUGGACAAAUCAAUGCAUCUCCUCUGCUCCAGACCCACCAAGAUCACUCCAGGAGCAGAGGCAGUGGCAUGUCCCCUGCUAGCAGGAAGUAAACCAUCUCAGAGUCUGACAUGUGUCCAGCAUGCCCUGGAUCAAGGCCCUGGUGACAGUCAAGAAAUGGCUAGAAAACAGCCUUGCUACAGAGUCAAGACCUUGCUACUGAGGUGUUCCUUGCUGGAGGUGGGCUUCCUUGUUAUCCUGAUCAACCUGAUCUCUGACUUGUUGGUUCUCCAGAGCUCUUAGUACUGAAGGAUUUUGAGCCACAUGGCAGAGGUGGCAGUAACAAGGCAGUAAUGUGGAUUGUACAAGAUGCUUCCAGGUUCAUCCCUUGAAAAAUGCUGUUGAUGCACCACAAUCCAUUCAGAACACUGGUCGUGCUAGGAGACUCAGGUCCGUUUCUGAAUCCUGUUUCCCCUAAACCAUACCCUGCUACUUUGCAUUGCUGCCACACACCUUAUUUUCUGCAGUUUGAUAGGUUUAAGACAUACCUGGGAUUCUUGAUGAAUCCCCCAGUCUUGAACUGUGCCCCACCUGCAACCUCUGCUCUGAGCUCUUUCACUCCGAAGUCAUAUCCUCAAUUUGUAAUAAUGUAAACCCAAGCUACUUACUGACAUUUGAAGCCUACUUCCGCAAUCCUCAAAUUUAAACUGAACUUUUCCUAGCAAAUGUUAAAAAGUAAACAUGUUUGCAUUCCAAAGCAGAUCAUAUUGCAAUUUUUGUUGCUAUUCAGAAACAGUAAUAGCAGAAGGCUGCAUAUCACAGGGAAACAAUUGCAUAGGAAAUCCAAUUGUCCUUGGAAGAAUUAUCAGACUAAAUUUAGAAAUGUCAGUCAGUCAUUAAAUUACAAAACAGAGGGAUUUUAAUCCUACUGUAGGUGAAAACUCAUUGUAGCCUUAAGUAUGGAUUUACACAUUUAUAAUAAGACGAAAAAUAAGAAGGAAGAAAAUCACAGUUUUUUUUGUUUUUUUUUAAGCUGCAAGUCUAAGACACAGAGUGGAACGCAGUCAGAAAUACAGCAACACUGAUAGUAGCAAUUUGGCUAUGGCUAACAAAUUGUCCAACUUGAGUUCUACCAGCACAGAUAUCACAGGCCCCUGACCAAACUUAGCAGAAUGCCACAGUGUGAUAAGCAAUUAAUAAUAUACAGGUAAUCAUAUGCAGGUGACCAAAGUAAGAAAUAUGUUUAUACACACUCCAAUUUCCUAGCAGUAAGUGAUUUCAGGGAUGCCAGCACAUACCUCAGGUUUGGUUCCCUUGGAAAGAAGGUCACUGCAUACAUUGGCUUCUUCAUGAUAUAUGGUUUUAUGUACACAUGUAUAUUUGGGAAUGUUAAGGAUAGUAGGAAAGGAUAUAUUGAAUAAGUAUUAUACUUCCUUCACCCAGGCUAGUAAGUGAUGUAGCAGAGCAGUAUAUACCUCAAUAUAGCUGGAAGCUAGUUUGCAGAUUCAUUUGGUUCUCUUAGUUAAGUUUAUUCCUGGUAUCCCCUUUAGAUCCCCUUCUCCUUGUGCCCUCCAUCUUUCCCAACAUCAGGGUCUUUUCCAGGGAGUCUUCUCUUCUCAUGAGGUGGCCAAAGUAUUGGAGCCUCAGCUUCAGGAUCUGUCCUUCCAGUGAGCACUCAGGGCUAAUUUCCUUAAGAAUGGAUGCGUUUGAUCUUCUUGCAGUCCAUGGGACUCUCAAGAGUCUCCUCCAGCACCAUAAUUUAAAAGCAUCAAUUCUUCGGCGAUCAGCCUUCUUUAUGGUCCAGCUCUCACUUCCAUACACUAAGUCUUUACUUAGUGGCUACAAAAUAAACUGUGAGUUCAUCUCAUAGGGAGACUGAACUCAGGUGCUGCUGGCUGAGAGCCAGCAGAAAGAAAAAUUACAUUAAGAUAACAAAAUGGCUACAGGAGAGCAGCAUGGCAGCAAAAGAUAGAACAAGACAAGACUGCAAGACUAAAAUAGACUGAGAAAAUGGUUGCAUGACUCGGCUCUUUUAUGGAGUGAGCCAGGACCACACCCAUCUCGCAGGUCACAUGCUGGGGGAAGGAUGAUUCAAUCAGUGGGACAGGAAGUUACACUGACCGGAUGUCCUCCUGCCUGUGCCCACUCUAGGGAAAUAAGGAAUGUUGCAUUUGACUGUACCAAUGGAUUACAUCUCACAGUGUACAUAUUCAGCAUAAGAUAGAAGGGUUACAGCACAACACUCCAGCAGAUCUUACUCCUGCAUUGGGUUUCUAGGAGUCUUCUUCAAAAGCCAUAGCCAUGGACUCAGCACAGAGAGAAGAUCAGGCCUCUUUGUUUUCCCAGCUCCAGAGAAUUCUGGCUCUUGUCCAUUUUUUCUUCUUAUACUCCAGUGACAUCACCUCCAGCCAGGGGAAGAGGGAAUAAUAGAAAUGUAGAGCUGGAAAUAACCCAAAUCACCUGCAAUGCCUGCCCUCUUCUAGAAGCAUCACUCGCUAGUAUUUUCUGUUGUGAUUGGUCACCUGGACUUCUUAGUCAUGUAAAGAGAAACAUAACAGACUAGGGUCAUCAAAGAGACCCACUUCAACAGUUCCUUCUACAUCAGAAUCCCACCUUAUAGACAUAAAACCACAGGCACAGAAACCCAAAUAGGGGGAUUAUCUGCCUUCCUUCUGUUCAGUGCUACUGGGUAUGGGAAGAAGUGACUUGUCCAGUUCUUCCUAGGCAUAGGGCUGCUGGUGGUGCUAUGGUCUAAACCACUGAGCCUCUUGGGCUUGCCGAUCAGAAGGUCGGUGGCUUGCCAAUUGGAAGCUCAGUGGUUUGAAUCCCUACGACAGGGUGAGCUCCCGUUGCUCUGUCCCAGCUCCUGCCAACCUAGCAGUUCGAAAGCACACCAGUGCAAGUAGAUAAAUAGGUACCACUGCUGCGGGAAGGUAAGCUGCAUUUCUGUGCACUCUGGUUUCCGUCACAGUGUUCCGUUGCACCAGAAGCGGUUUAGGCAUGCUGGCCACAUGACCCGGAAGGCUGUGUGUGGACAAAUGCUGGCUCCCUCAGCCUGAAAGCGCCGCAACCCCAUAGUUGCCUUUGACUGGACUUAACCGUCCAGGGGUCCUUUACUUUUUUCCUAGACAUGUCAUUGGAUGCAUAAACUGCAAAGAACAAAAGAACAGAGUUCCUGGGCUCUGAGCUAGUGGAGAUUCACAAAUAAGCCAAAGGAAAACAGCACCCACAACCUCAUCCCAACCAUGUGACCAGCUGCAACAGAAGACUGGGGUGAAUCAGUUAAUAAACCAUGAUAUUGAUGUUAUGACAUUUAUAUCCCAACUUUCUUCCAUCACAGAACCAAGGCAACAAAAAGUGGUUGUUCCCAAGGAACUGACUAGACCCACACAUUGAAUUGCUUAGCUUCAGCUAGAGCAUGACCCUCAUGGGUUUUCAGACCAUAGAGGAAAGUUUUGUUGGUGAAAAAUGUAUUGUAGCCUUAUGUAUGGAUUUACACAAAACAACCAGUGCUACACUUUGGAGUAACUACUGAAUGGUGUGCAAUCUUCUGCAAUUUUCAUCAUUCCAUCCAUUUCCCCGACGCCCAAAAGGGAUAGAGACAGUGUUAUCCAGAUAGUGUGCUCAGGUACUCUUGGCUGCAUGGCAACAGCAACCAGGGAAUGAUUUAACAUGACCUUCAUUUGGCAUCCAUAAUGUAUAGAGAAGUCCCUUGAGAUUUCUAUUUUUUUUAUUGUUCAGAGAAAGAGUCUGGAUGUGAUAAUCCAUAUUAUUGAUUGCUUUAAAUUCAUUAGUAGUUGGCAUGUUCAGUGACACAUUUGAAAAAUAUCCUCAAGUAUGCUGAUAUAUUACAGGGAAAAUUAGAAUGAAGACUUCUAUCUCCUUGGGAUAUUUCUACCUCUGAGGAUAGUACUUACUGAGUGGAGAGAGAGAGAGGUAUGUGGGAUCCAACACAGCAUAUGCAUCCUAUAAAAUAAAUGUUAAUUUAAUUGCUGAAAGAGGCCGCUGGUCAGUCCCGUUUGGAGAAUGGCUAUUUAAACAAGUGUAUGAAUAUUGAUUAUGUGGAGCUGAAGGAAAUGUUUAUCAUUCUUAAUUGCAAUACAAUCGUUACUCUGGAGUUAAACAUUUGAGCAGAAUACUCAAUGUAUAAUGCAAAUACAGCCAUUAAUUUGCCUUGACAAAAUCAACAGCAAUAUGUAUAUCAUCAAAGUAUGCCCAGAGACAUAUUGCAGUUGUAGGACUGAGAGGCCUCUGGAGGAGGCACCAGUAUUGUGCUUGGAUAAAUGGUGGCUCUGUGGCAUAUCAGAACCCUGUUCAACCCAACUUGAGACAGCAAUGCUUCCAUAUACACCUGCUCUCGACUGAUGAAAGGGAUUUUUAAAAAAUUGCUCCAUUCCACCCUCUGCCACCAUUCCACCACUUAGAAUAAGCAUGACCAUCUUAACAUGCAUACACACACCAGUAUUUGUGACUAUGGCCCACUAUGUGGAAUGAAAAUUCACACACCCUUAUUCCUAGCUCACGCACUCACUGAGCCAGCGAUCUGAUUCAUGUGCUAGAAGGAAAUGUUGGAAUUGAGCACCCACAUCAUCGCCAUCAUUCUUUCCAACAGGUCCCUGAAAUGUUUAUCAUGUACAAUUCAACACAGAGGAAAUCCUAGAACUGCUCUAUGAAGGGCAGUAUAGUACAUAUUGUAAAUAAUAAGUAAGGAUAAAGAUGGGCAGAAAAGUGGGGGCUUGGGUGAACUGCAGUAGUGGUGUGGCAGAGCCAUCUUCCUGGCAUGGCCCACCUGAAUGUGGCUGGGACAAACAAAGUGACAAUGAGGGUGGUGGCAUUGAUGCACUGGAGGAAUGCCAUAUCACUUCUGCCAAUGUGGCUGCACAGCCCCACCCAUUCGUGCCCAAGCGCUCUUUUUUUGCCCCGGAGCAAUUCGUACAAUUAGCUUUAGCUGUGUAAUGUAACUCCCCCAUCCUCUCCUCUCCUCGUUCCUCCCUGCAUCCUCCAAAUCUUCUCCAGAGGGUUGAGGAUGUACUCGGUCAUUUGCAUGGAAAGCAGAUGCUCUGUAACUGAGCUGCAUCCCUUCCCCUAUAUUCUUAAAUGAUAGAUAGAGAGGUUUUAGCAUCAUGCCACAUAUGACCUUUCGGGGGGAAACGCAGUAUGGGGGUCAAUAUUGUGUAGGGCUUAGUAACUCUUGCAACCUAAGAAUAGACACCUGUGCUUUUGUAAACCUUCUGUUCACUUAAAUAGAACAUGUGUAGGAGAUUCUCCUCUCUGGUGUGUUUCCCUCAACCCAACACAGAGCAGAAGAGUAACGGAUUCUCUUGCAGGAAUUCAUGUUCUAGACCAUGAUUGGAGAACUCCAAGGCAUCCAGAUGUUGUUGGGCUGCAUCUACCACCGUCCCUGGCUAUGGGCCAUGCUAGCUGGGGGUGACAGGUCAAACAGUACUUGGAAGACCACUGCACUCCCCCUUCCCUAAAUCUAAACCAAUGUUUGAUUGAACACUGUAUAAUGUAGAGUUGAGGACAUUAUUAUUCACAAAAAAGCACCCUGGAAAGCUUCAAAGCAAGACAGGAAAACUUCAGGUUUUAAUACUAAUUAGAAGCUCCUGUCUCCUAGGUGUGAGGUGUUUAUCUGUGGAAAGCAGGAGAUAGCGUUGCAAAGAAGAAACGUGUACGCCGGGGAAUUGAAGAUCCAGCAAGUGGCUGACUGGAUUAAAAAACAACAACCCGCACAUGCCAUAAAAAAACAGAACAACAACCAACGCUCCCCGCCCCCACAACAGCAGAUGAAUUAAGAUGUUGUGCAGCACAUGACGGCUUCAACGAAACAGCUCGUGGUUUCCCCCUGCUAAUUCAGAAAUACCUGAAGAUGACACACCUGCAGC
Molecule: long non-coding RNA, 11171 nt
Filed under: Podarcis lilfordi (Lilford's wall lizard)
Lineage: Eukaryota; Metazoa; Chordata; Lepidosauria; Squamata; Lacertidae
Source: RNAcentral